UGGGGAAUAUUGCACAAUGGGCGAAAGCCUGAUGCAGCAACGCCGCGUGAGUGAUGAAGGUCUUCGGAUUGUAAAGCUCUGUCUUUUGGGACGAUAAUGACGGUACCAAAGGAGGAAGCCACGGCUAACUACGUGCCAGCAGCCGCGGUAAUACGUAGGUGGCGAGCGUUGUCCGGAUUUACUGGGCGUAAAGGGUGCGUAGGCGGAUGUUUAAGUGAGAUGUGAAAUACCCGGGCUUAACUUGGGUGCUGCAUUUCAAACUGGAUAUCUAGAGUGCAGGAGAGGAGAAUGGAAUUCCUAGUGUAGCGGUGAAAUGCGUAGAGAUUAGGAAGAACACCAGUGGCGAAGGCGAUUCUCUGGACUGUAACUGACGCUGAGGCACGAAAGCGUGGGUAGCAAACAGGAUUAGAUACCCUGGUAGUCCACGCCGUAAACGAUGAGUACUAGGUGUAGGAGGUAUCGACCCCUUCUGUACCGCAGUAAACACAUUAAGUACUCCGCCCUGGGAAGUACGAUCGCA
This 520-nucleotide ribosomal RNA is filed under the name uncultured bacterium. RNAcentral describes it as "partial 16S ribosomal RNA". It matches the Rfam family "Bacterial small subunit ribosomal RNA", at positions 355 to 890 of the family's 1533-position model. The record is from RNAcentral.